CCUACGGGUGGCUGCAGUGGGGAAUAUUGCACAAUGGGGGGAACCCUGAUGCAGCGACGCCGCGUGGGUGAUGAAGUACUUCGGUAUGUAAAGCUCUAUCAGCAGGGAAGAAAAUGACGGUACCUGACUAAGAAGCCCCGGCUAACAACGUUCCAGCAGCCGCGGGAAGACGGAGGGGGCAAGCGUUAUCCGGAUUUACUGGGUGUUAAGGGAGCGUAGGCGGCGUGCCAGGUCUGAUGUGAAAGGCCGGGGCUCAACCCCGGGACUGCAUUGGAAACUGGCAUGCUGGAGUUCCGGAGGGGGAGGCGGAAUUCGUGGUGUAGCGGUGAAAUGCGUAGAUAUUAGGAAGAACACCGGUGGCGAAGGCGGCUUGCUGGACGGUAACUGACGCUGAGGCUCGAAAGCGUGGGGAGCAAACAGGAUUAGAUACCCGGGUAGUC
This 440-nucleotide ribosomal RNA is filed under the name uncultured bacterium. RNAcentral's name for it is "partial 16S ribosomal RNA". It matches the Rfam family "Bacterial small subunit ribosomal RNA", at positions 338 to 795 of the family's 1533-position model. The record is from RNAcentral.